GAGGAUAUAGCUCAAUGGUAAAGCACUUGCCUGAUAUGCAUGAGGCCCCUUCCCUUUUUUUAUUUUUG
Molecule: transfer RNA, 68 nt
Filed under: Mesocricetus auratus (golden hamster)
Lineage: Eukaryota; Metazoa; Chordata; Mammalia; Rodentia; Cricetidae
Rfam family: tRNA
About the family: Transfer RNA (tRNA) molecules are approximately 80 nucleotides in length. Their secondary structure includes four short double-helical elements and three loops (D, anti-codon, and T loops). Further hydrogen bonds mediate the characteristic L-shaped molecular structure. tRNAs have two regions of fundamental functional importance: the anti-codon, which is responsible for specific mRNA codon recognition, and the 3' end, to which the tRNAs corresponding amino acid is attached (by aminoacyl-tRNA synthetases). tRNAs cope with the degeneracy of the genetic code in two manners: having more than one tRNA (with a specific anti-codon) for a particular amino acid; and 'wobble' base-pairing, i.e. permitting non-standard base-pairing at the 3rd anti-codon position.
Source: Rfam by way of RNAcentral